Molecule: ribosomal RNA, 267 nt
Filed under: uncultured bacterium
Lineage: Bacteria
Description: partial 16S ribosomal RNA
Rfam family: Bacterial small subunit ribosomal RNA
Source: RNAcentral
CAUUCGAGUGGCGGACGGGUGAGUAACGCGUGGGUAACCUGCCUUACACAGGGGGAUAACACCUGGAAACAGGUGCUAAUACCGCAUAAGCGCACAGGGCCGCAUGGCCCGGUGUAGAAAAACUCCGGUGGUGUAAGAUGGACCCGCGUCUGAUUAGCUUGUUGGCGGGGUAGGGGCCCACCAAGGCGACGAUCAGUAGCCGGCCUGAGAGGGUGGACGGCCACAUUGGGACUGAGACACGGCCCAAACUCCUACGGGAGGCAGCAG